GACCGCUCCGGUGGCCAAGUGGUUAGAGCGUCUGCCUUUGUUGCUUGAGCUCGUGGGUUCGAUCCCCGGCCGUGUUA
Non-coding RNA from Potamilus streckersoni, 77 nucleotides. The record is from the annotation of a GenBank genome assembly. NCBI's taxonomy places the organism in Eukaryota, Metazoa, Mollusca, Bivalvia, Unionida, Unionidae.